UCAAAGGCGUGGAAAGACUUAGUAGAAAGCGGAAUCCCGCCGCUCAGAGAAUCGGUGGUCGCUGCGAACCGAAUGGGCGGAUCCCUUUUGAAUUACCGUCUGGAGCCGUCCGGGGGAACGCGGCCCUAAGCCGCAAGUAGUCCGGUUCCGGGAUGACCGUUAUAAGAAUGAAGUGAAAACCGUUUCGUUUGCUUUGCUGCGGCCUGCGGCGGGUUAACGCGGUUUUAAUUAGGGUGGUAACGCGAGCGCUCCUUCUCGUCCCUUGG
RNAcentral lists this non-coding RNA (266 nucleotides) under Paenibacillus macerans. RNAcentral's name for it is "T-box sequence". It matches the Rfam family "T-box leader". Rfam says of the family: Uncharged tRNA acts as the effector for transcription antitermination of genes in the T-box leader family. T-boxes are found upstream of many aminoacyl-tRNA synthetase genes and some amino acid biosynthetic genes usually in Gram-positive bacteria. Lineage: Bacteria; Bacillati; Bacillota; Bacilli; Caryophanales; Paenibacillaceae. The record is from RNAcentral.